This 402-nucleotide ribosomal RNA is filed under the name uncultured bacterium. Its description in RNAcentral is "bacterial SSU rRNA". It matches the Rfam family "Bacterial small subunit ribosomal RNA", at positions 355 to 774 of the family's 1533-position model. RNAcentral also lists the same sequence under 2 other names. The record is from RNAcentral.
UGGGGAAUAUUGGACAAUGGGCGCAAGCCUGAUCCAGCCAUGCCGCGUGAGUGAUGAAGGCCCUAGGGUUGUAAAGCUCUUUCACCGGUGAAGAUAAUGACGGUAACCGGAGAAGAAGCCCCGGCUAACUUCGUGCCAGCAGCCGCGGUAAUACGAAGGGGGCUAGCGUUGUUCGGAAUUACUGGGCGUAAAGCGCACGUAGGCGGGUAUUUAAGUCAGGGGUGAAAUCCCGGAGCUCAACUCCGGAACUGCCUUUGAUACUGGGUACCUAGAGUAUGGAAGAGGUAAGUGGAAUUCCGAGUGUAGAGGUGAAAUUCGUAGAUAUUCGGAGGAACACCAGUGGCGAAGGCGGCUUACUGGUCCAUUACUGACGCUGAGGUGCGAAAGCGUGGGGAGCAAACA